CAUCUGGCUCGGGCCACUCUGACACCUUUAGUUUCGGCAAGGGAUAUUGGGGUGGCGAAGGGGAGGCGGGGGCCCGAAGGCUUCGGAAAACGAUGGGGGAGGGGGCAGAGGAUACCCGUCGAAGCCCCCCCCUCCCCCAACAUUUCGAUAUUGGAAUCACUUUCCUUCUUCCUCGGGCCAGCCUUUGCUCUGUCCCCUCAGGUCAACUCAAGGUAGACAGUGUGGCGACUGGAGAGGUCGGGGAACAAGCUUUGUUUCAGCUAAGGGGAAAACAAGCGUUCACAGGAGUCCCCUGACACCUCCCACUCGGAAGAUAGCUAACGGGGGUCCUGCCAACCCUUCCCAUCCAACUUCCAUCUGAAAAGGAUUUUCUGCUAAAGUUGGGUCCAUGGCCAUCCAGCACCUGUAAGGCCGGCAGGAGCGUCUGCCCUCUACUCAGUUAAAGCCUGAAGUCGUUUCCUUUCGAUGGCCCUUAGGAGGCCCAAAAGAGGGGCGACAGAACAUGAUGUUGACACGGGCUGGGCGCCCCCAGAAGCCCGGGAACAAACGUUUCUACUUUCCAGGUCCACUGGUGUUUGGUGUACCCAUGUGACUAAUUUGUCCAAAGAGAGGUCUCAGCUGAAAUGAAACCUCCUCAGAAAAAUUUGUUCCUGACAAAUUAUAACUCAAAAAUCAAAAAUUUCUAAGGCCUUUGUUAUUCUCUUUAUCACAGCAUUGUACUCAUUUUCUUCUUAGUACUUAGAAACGUCUAUAAUUGUUUUACUUCUUUGUUUACCAUUAAAUGUCUGUAUCCUUUAUA
Long non-coding RNA from Homo sapiens (human), 799 nucleotides. Ensembl annotates it as ARRDC3 antisense RNA 1. Its record names the gene ARRDC3-AS1. The record is from Ensembl. NCBI's taxonomy places the organism in Eukaryota, Metazoa, Chordata, Mammalia, Primates, Hominidae.